Molecule: ribosomal RNA, 253 nt
Filed under: uncultured bacterium
Lineage: Bacteria
Description: partial 16S ribosomal RNA
Rfam family: Bacterial small subunit ribosomal RNA
Source: RNAcentral
UACGGGGGGGGCAAGCGUUGUUCGGAAUUACUGGGCGUAAAGGGCUCGUAGGCGGCCAACUAAGUCAGACGUGAAAUCCCUCGGCUUAACCGGGGAACUGCAUCUGAUACUGGAUGGCUUGAGAUUGGGAGAGGGAUGCGGAAUUCCAGGUGUAGCGGUGAAAUGCGCAGAUAUCGGGAGGAACACCAAUGGCGAAGGCAGCUCGCUGGGACGGUACUGACGCUGAGACGCGAAAGCGUGGGGAGCAAACAGG